CUGACUAGCCUACUGAAUCAUAGAAUUUUUUCAAUUCAUGAUGUCGUAAGGGAAAAUAAUGAUAAUACCUUACUAUGAGUGUCGUCCAAAUCUGGUGCCAGAAGACUCGGUAAGACCAGAGACGCAAACGUUAAUCAUCUUAAACAGGCGUAAAGGGUUUGUAGGCAGCUCCCACGAGAUGGUGAUUCCAAAAUAAAGCCAUCUAAUUGAGAGCUAGAAUCAAAAAGAGGUUAUAGUGUAUAACGCCUAGAGGAGGGCUGAUAUCCAUAGAUCCUAGGCAGAAUACUUAGGGCGAAGGCCACUCUCCACUAAUGAUUGACGCUGAGAAACGAAGGUUAGGGUAGGAAAUAGGAUUAGAUACCCCGGUACUCCUUUCUGUAAACGAUGAAUGGUAGUCAUUAAUUUUCUAAUUAGAGACGAAGUUAACACAAUAACCAUUCCGCCUUGUGAGUACUACUGCAAAGUAGAAAACAAAAAAAUUAGUCGGUCUCGAAGCAAACGGAGUGAAGCAUGUUAUUUAAUUAA
RNAcentral lists this ribosomal RNA (525 nucleotides) under Vanderbyliella tianmuensis. RNAcentral's name for it is "SSU rRNA". It matches the Rfam family "Bacterial small subunit ribosomal RNA", at positions 408 to 953 of the family's 1533-position model. The record is from RNAcentral. Lineage: Eukaryota; Fungi; Basidiomycota; Agaricomycetes; Polyporales; Polyporaceae.